Molecule: ribosomal RNA, 371 nt
Filed under: uncultured organism
Description: bacterial SSU rRNA
Rfam family: Bacterial small subunit ribosomal RNA
Source: RNAcentral
CGUAGGGUGCAAGCGUUAAUCGGAAUUACUGGGCGUAAAGCGUGCGCAGGCGGUUAUGCAAGACAGAUGUGAAAUCCCCCGGGCUCAACCUGGGAACUGCAUUUGUGACUGCAUAGCUAGAGUACGGUAGAGGGGGAUGGAAUUCCGCGUGUAGCUGUGAAAUGCGUAGAUAUGCGGAGGAACACCGAUGGCGAAGGCAAUCCCCUGGACCUGUACUGACGCUCAUGCACGAAAGCGUGGGGAGCAAACAGGAUUAGAUACCCUGGUAGUCCACGCCCUAAACGAUGUCAACUGGUUGUUGGGAGGGUUUCUUCUCAGUAACGAAGCUAACGCGUGAAGUUGACCGCCUGGGGAGUACGGCCGCAAGGUUG